Molecule: long non-coding RNA, 768 nt
Filed under: Marmota monax (woodchuck)
Lineage: Eukaryota; Metazoa; Chordata; Mammalia; Rodentia; Sciuridae
Source: RNAcentral
AUUACUUAUAUCUCUCCUAUUCCUUCUUUGGACUACAUAAUACAAUUUGAUAAGAGUAAAAUGUAGGUAUUAGAAGCAUGAAUUCUCAAGCCCAUUUUCUUGAGUUCAGAUUCCAGCUUCAGAACCUCUAUGUAAUCUUACUGUUUUGUUACCCCUCUGUGGAUUUAGUUUACCCCUCUAGAAAUAUGAGACUAGGGUAACAGUGCUUCCUCACAGAGUUGUGAGUUUAGAGAAACACUUGGAACAUCCCCCCUAUACAAUCAUUGUUAUUACAUGGCUUUACUGAACUUAUGAUUUUAUAUAAUAAGAAAAAUAGUAUUAAUUUAAAAAUUUGAAUUCUACCCCUCCUAGUCACUAUUACAACAUACCACAUUACUGAUUGUCAAUGACUACCUUGAGUUGUUUUCUAGAGGAUUAUCAGAAGCCAAGGAUAAGAGCUAGAAAAACUUAAAUAGAGGUGAAAACCUUACAAAAUUUUGACUUUACAGAUCUUUGAUUUUUUAUGUACUUAAGGUGUUACGACAUUUACAAUAGAAGCAGGUAUUCAAAUGUUUGUUCAUAUUAAAAUGCCUGUAAGCAUCACUAGUGAAAUACCAGCAUGUGAUUUUGCCUGAAAGGAAGGUGAGAUUCUAUUCUCCUGUUUGAAAUUAACUUCGUUUUUUUUCCACUGAUAUAUGUGAAGCAACAUUAUAAAAUUGAAAAAUAUGAAUUAUUAUUAUUAUUUUUUACCAAUUCCUCUACUAAACAGCUUGUGAAAGUUAUCUCUGG